Molecule: unclassified non-coding RNA, 5193 nt
Filed under: Helicoverpa zea (corn earworm)
Lineage: Eukaryota; Metazoa; Arthropoda; Insecta; Lepidoptera; Noctuidae
Description: calpain-7-like, transcript variant X1
Source: RNAcentral
CUUUGUAAUUUGUAGAUAGGUUGUCAUUGUCAUUCUAAACAUUACAAUUUUUGUUUGCGUUCAUAAUUUAUUAUUUUGUGAGUCUCUAAUGCGGUGAUCGUGAAAAAUGAGUGAUUUCGCUAAUGCCACUGAGGCUGCUUCCCUGGCCGUGCAGUUCGAUCAGGCGGGACAGACGGACAAAGCUGUGGAAUGCUACAGGACAGCCGCGAGAUUGCUGGAUAGAGUUCGGGAUCAAUUUCCUCCAGAAAAACAGCAAGAUGUAAGGAAUAAGGUUCAGGAGUACCUUGAAAGGGCUAACGUUUUGAAAGAGCAGCAAGAAAGGGCCCAACAAGCAAGCAGUGAGCGAGCGAUGCAACAAUGCUACUUCCUCAUGCAACAGGCUCUGGAUGCUGAUGAAGCUAAUUUGAAGGAUAAUGCAUUACAGCUGUAUACUCAGGCGGUUGAAUUGGCUGUUUCUGUUAAAGCAAGUGAUCCAGAUAUAAAAGCAAAGAUAAAAGGUUUAGCUGAGCAAGCCCUUGAUAGGGCUGAGGAGUUGAAAGGUAUUAGAAGGAUUGGAGCUCUUUCUAUUAAUGAACCAAAGAGGCCAGUGGUAACUCCAGUUAAGCCUGUCUUACAAAGAGACCAAAGCGUACACCUAAAAGUAAGUGGAAAGCAGGCCACUUACUCAGAAGAAGAAAAAGAGGUUCUACGUACCACUUCAAAUAUCAACAACAAUUGUUUUCUACCGUUUAUGGACGUAGACUUAUCGGAGAAGUUCCAAUAUGCUAUACCGUUUGAGGAUAGAGCGAGUGAGUUGAAGCUGUCUUCGAAACAGGAGAAGGAAUUUGAUAGCUGGGUGCGGCCGCAUGAGAUAUGUACGGAUCCAAAGAUGAUUGUGGGAGAACAUGUUGACUGUUUUAGUAUUAAGCAGACUAUAGUAUCAGACUGCUCAUUCGUAGCAUCGUUAGCAGUUAGCGCACUCUACGAGAAGAGAUUUAACAAGAAGAUCAUUACUUCCAUUAUCUACCCGAAGAACAAGAGCAAGUCGCCGGUCUACAAUCCCUUUGGCAAAUAUAUGGUGAAGCUACACCUUAAUGGUGUUAGGAGGAAGGUGAUAAUAGACGAUCGCUUGCCGUACAGUAAAUACGGUCGGCUUCUCUGUUCGUACUCGAGCAAUAAGAACGAGUUCUGGGUGUCUUUGUUGGAGAAGGCUUAUAUGAAGGUCAUGGGAGGAUAUGAUUUUCCUGGCUCGAAUAGUAACAUAGAUCUCCACGCUCUUACAGGCUGGAUUCCUGAAAGGUCUGCAAUCCGAAACGGCGAACCAGAUUUUAACGCGGAUGCCUUAUACGAGAAGAUCAGAACUAGAUUAGAAAGAGGUGAUGUGUUAGUCACAGUGGCUACCGGACCAUUGUCAGACGCGGAGGCAGAACGCACGGGGCUAGUAGCCACGCAUGCCUACGCCGUGUUAGACGUCAGACUGGCUAAUGGUGUAAAACUCCUAAAACUCAAAAACCCGUGGUCCCACCUCCGUUGGCGCGGGAACUACUCAGAACUAGACCUAGCGCACUGGACGCCUUCACUACGAGCGUUACUGAACUACGAUCCCGACAGCGCAGCGCAGUAUGACAACGGCGUAUUCUGGAUAGACUACGCGAGUAUACUGAACUUCUUCGAUGUUUUUUACUUGAAUUGGAACCCGGAGAUGUUUCAGUAUACUUAUUGUAUACAUCAAAAAUGGGACGCCGGCACUGGUCCAGCCAAAGACGCCUACAACAUAGGCGAGAACCCACAGUUCUCUCUCCACGUGCAGGGGCGCGGAGCCGUCUGGUUACUCCUAACGCGACACAUCACGCAGAUAGACGACUUCAGAGACAAUAAGGAGUACAUCACUCUGCUCGUAUAUAAGAACGGCCGCCGCGUUUACUAUCCCUACGAUCCCGAACCUUAUAAAGACGGCAUAAGGAUCAACAGUCCGCAUUAUCUAUGCGAGUUACUAAUAGGAGAGAAUAGCGCGGACAGAUAUACUCUGGUUGUGUCACAGUAUGAGAAGAGUAAAACUAUAUUCUAUACGUUGAGGGCUUAUGCUACGUGUCCCUUCACGCUUAGUAAGCUUGAGCCUUAUCCGUAUAAGAAAACUCUAAAAGGCGAAUGGACAGCCCGUACUGCAGGUGGUUGCGAGAACCACAGGGCAACCUACCCAAACAACCCGAAAUUCACCAUCACGGUACCCGAAGCCAGGUCUCCUUGCAACAUAGUGAUAGAACUUAAAGGUCCUAAGCAGUAUCAGAUGGGAGUAGACGCGAGGGUCGAGGCUUUAGAUGACCCUACCGUUACUGCGCCGUUUUUGAAGGAAUCUUCUGGUCCUUAUAGGGCCGGUUUCGUAGUACUAGAGCUACGUAAUCUCCCCGCUGGUCGGUACAUCCUUACACCUUCGACCUUCUACCCAGGACAGGAAGGUCCAUUUUUCCUUGAACUUCGAUCAACUUGCCCCAUUACAUGUGAGGGACGCAACUAGCGAGCUGUUGGCAGAAGGAAGCAAGACGAAAGUAGGUUUUAAUUUCAUUGUAUUAAGGUUGAAAAUCGAAUGCUAAACUUGGCACUGAUUUUGAAUUGAAAACGUUAUUCUUUUUUUGGCAACGUGUGUUCGAUUUUUAAACCUGAUUUUAAUAAAAUGACGUGUAAAUAAAUAAUGAUUUUAUUGUUGAAUGGAUUUUGAACUGUAUGCUGAAGAAGUUAGUGUCUAAAAUGCUUUAAAACGUGUUGCUAGAAUUAUUGCAGUUUUAUUGAUGUUAAAAAUGAUACUGUCUAUAAUAGAUGAAGUCUCACUAGUUUUAUGUAUUUUGUUUGUUCUAGAAUAAAAACUAUUUUUGGUUCUUUUUAAAACUAGAAAAAUAUAUUUUGUAUAGGAAUGUUUUCGUCCACGUAGGCCUAUGUGUUGUGAUUUUAUUUUGUCCAUUUAAAUUGAGUGAUUUAUUUAGAUCUGUAAUUUUAAAAUUAUAUGUCAAAAAUCGUACACACUACAAGAAAAAUAUUUUGAUUGAGCAUAGAAAACUGCACCUUUGUGGUAUUAAUCCAAAAGUAUCGAUUCUGGUUUUAAUUGCCAACAUUUGUAUCGAAGAGAGAGAUGAUUGAGAGAUACAAAUUGACCGUAGACAAUUAGUAACCAUAGUCUUAAUGCAACAUAGAAGAUACGUAAAAAUAUCACAUUUUAAUACAGAAAUAUGUACAUAAAAAUAUCACAAUAUUCCCUAGAAUUGACCAGACAUUUAGUAAGAAGAUUUUCUUAGGCCGAUUAAGUGUUUUCCGCUAAAUACUCGAGGGUAUUCCGAGGGAUUCCAUUUGCGUCGCACGGCACGUUGUUAGCGACAGAGUUGGGUUUGUCUAUGGGGAGUUCUGGUUUUAAAUUCUUGCUUGUCUAUGUAUUUUUUGGUAAGAGGUUUUAUAUUUUUGUAUUUGAAGCGGUUUUGUUAAGUAAAUGGAGGUUGAAUUUGUUGGUCUGAAAUUAUGUAGUAGCUUAAACCUGCUGUAGCUGUAAGAAGCCAAACCUUGACACUGAAAUGAACAUAUCGUGGGCAUAUUGUCGCUGGAUUAAUUCCCUUAUAAUAUUUAGAAUGAAUUAAUUUAAAAAUAUUUUCAUGUUUAACAUUAGGACUAACAAAAUUUUAACGUAACAGAGCUUUUAUCAAAAAUAUAAAGUUUCACCAACCACUACUUUAUUAUAUUUUAAAACAUGUUUAAGCAAAGUUUGUAAAACGAAAAACAGAGUACGAAGCCGCGGUAACAGCUAAUUGCGAUUAUGUAAAUGUGGUCCGUUUUUGUGCACUAAAGUGUACGUUCUCUAAAGGAUGAUAACACCUACUGUAAUGCGGAUGUAUCUAAUUUUUUUUUGUGAGCUUUUGACCGCUUUUUGCAAAUAUUUUUCGGGCACAUUUCGUCACUGUUAGUCUGUGUCAACAGUAGGUAAACUGUUUGCAUCUGACUGAGUGAGCCCGCUAAUAUGUAACGAACUGAAAUUUAAUGUAGCUGGAAACUUAGAUCAAUUUUAUUUUCUUGUUCGUUUUGCUGUGAGUCGGCCACAAGCUGAAAGAGUCUGCGCACGUAACGCUACAAAGUGAACCCAAACUGGCAAAUUGUGGAUUCUCCAUUUUAAAUACAUAUAUGGAAGGACGGACUGAACCAAUACGUCGCAAACUCACUGGGAUGCCAGUUUGCCUACUGUACACAACCUUAGCAUUUGUUCGCGCAUAAAGGUUGCAGUUUCGCCAACAUUUUUAUCUAAAUAUAUGUGUAUGAAUGUAAAUCAAUUGUUUAAUAUAACUAGUCAAGGUAAAUCGUCCAAUCGUGUUCUAAGACCAGAGCAAGAUAAAUAAACGAUACAUAAUAAUCGGUUAGUACAUAUAAAAGGUGUUCAAGAGAGAAUAUUUUAUCUGUGUGUAAGUAAUAUAUGCCUUAUAACAAGAAUAUAAAAUGUUAAAACGUAAAAAAUAGCAAUAAGAGGCCUUAUAUAUGUAUCCAUAUUCUUUUUCUCCUUCGUCUGUACGACAGUUAAAUAUUUCGUUAAAACUGUCAUUAUAGAAAACAACAUUUUAUUAAUAUUAUUUGACGAAAAAUAUUAUAAGUUGUCAAGUACAUUAGGUCAAGAAUUUUUUACACCUCAUAUUCAAAUCAUAGAGAUAAAGAAUAGGUCGUUGCAUAAUAAAAAUGUAUCAGUGAUAGACACAGCCUCAACGUGAUCUCUCUCACGAUUUCUAUAUACCAUGUGGCUCGUCAAAGCCGCAAGGAGGGUUUAGCGUAUAGUUCCACCAUGUAAUUUUGCAAUUCUACAUACAGUAAACCAUAUGACUCCUUGCGCAUUUAUUCGUACAGAUAUUGUCGAGAACGUUUGCUUGUCUGAAGUUGGCUACUAAUGAUUUCACAAAAGUCAAAACAUACACGAACCAAACACUACUGCACCUGCGGCAGACGUCAAGUGACUAACUUCAGAAUUGCAAAGUUACGUGGCGCGAACCAUAUUCUUAUAUCUCUAUGGUUUAAAUUGGAGGCCAAGGCUUGUUCGCUUAUUCUGCCGUUCCGCUCUCAAAGUUACGCAUUUCACAUGUCUCGCUCUGCUGUGAUAAUUUAGUUCUUAAGGUCAAAUCACAGUGUAUUAUAAUAAUGUUAAAAAUGUAUUUUCUUUUUAUAGAAUGUUAAUUAAUAAAUAUAUUUUGAUAAUAA